GCAUUCGUGUUCAUCCUUAAUAUUUAAAUGUGAGUUGUAUUUUAUGAUAAUACGUAACAUACUUUAAGAUUGAGGAUGAACACGGAUGC
RNAcentral lists this small RNA (89 nucleotides) under Mytilus galloprovincialis (Mediterranean mussel). The record is from RNAcentral. Lineage: Eukaryota; Metazoa; Mollusca; Bivalvia; Mytilida; Mytilidae.